AAGAAGAGAGAGGGAGAGCGCUGACCCAGGCAAGAGAGAGUGGAAAGGCCCGGCCGGAGGCCGGCGCGCCGCGGCCGGGACCGGGGCGAGCCCGCGGUGGGCGGUGGGGAUUGGCUGCGCGUUCCCCCGGAGACCGUGCGGCAGGCGGGGGAGGGGGCUGGCCGGGCCCCAGCUGAGGCCGGUUCCGGCCCCCGCCCCCCGCCACCGCCCGGCGCCCGCCCCCUCCCCCGGCGCCCGCCCCCCGCCGCCGCCGCCGCCGCCGCCGCCGCGGGCGCACUCGCCGGUCGCAGUGAAAAGGCGGAGGCGGCGGCCGCUCCGGCUCCCACUGCCUCCCCCGCCGCACCCCCUCCUCACCUCUCGCACCCGCCAAACUUGAUGUGACCCUGGCCCGACGCGGCUGCUGCCCCUCUCACCGCCCCGCGGGUCCCCCGCCACCCGCUCCGCCCCCGCGAGCGCACUGCUCCCCGCGCCCCUUCCCACUCCCCGCGGGGCCGGCGCCGCGCUCGCCCUCGCGUUCCUUCCCGCCGCCCCCUCCCCCGCACCAUGAGCAACCUGAAGCCGGACGGCGAGCACGGCGGCAGCACCGGCACCGGCUCCAGCGCGGGCUCCGGCGGCGCCCUGGAGGAGGAGGUCCGGACACUGUUUGUCAGCGGCCUCCCUGUGGACAUUAAACCCAGAGAACUCUACUUGCUCUUCCGGCCGUUCAAGGGGUAUGAAGGGUCCCUGAUCAAGCUCACCGCGAGACAGCCUGUUGGUUUUGUGAUCUUUGACAGCCGGGCAGGAGCAGAAGCAGCCAAGAAUGCACUGAACGGUAUUCGUUUUGAUCCCGAGAAUCCACAGACCCUGAGGCUAGAGUUUGCCAAAGCCAACACCAAGAUGGCCAAGAGCAAGCUAAUGGCAACCCCAAAUCCCAGCAACGUGCACCCCGCCCUAGGAGCACACUUCGUCGCACGGGACCCCUAUGACCUGAUGGGGGCUGCUCUGAUCCCUGCAUCUCCAGAGGCCUGGGCCCCCUACCCUUUGUACACCACAGAGCUGGCCCCAGCCAUCUCCCAUGCUGCGUUCACCUAUCCAGCUGCCACUGCCGCUGCCGCCGCCCUCCAUGCUCAGGUGCGCUGGUACCCUUCCUCUGACACCACCCAGCAAGGAUGGAAGUACCGUCAGUUCUGUUAGUUCUUCAAUUGUGACAUCCAAGGCAGGAACCUUGCCUGGUUGAUUACGGAGUAUUCUUGGACUUAGCACAUGCCUGGAGCACACAUAGUAUUUUGCCUUUGAGUAACUGUCCCCAGCUCCAGUGCUGCAGGCACAUUGUUCCAGGGCCUCUGUGGUGCUCCUGAUGCCCCUCACCCACUGUCGAAGAUCCCCGGUGGGCGAGGGGGCGGCAGGGAUCCUUCUCUCUCAGCUCUAAUAUAUAAGGACGAGAAGCUCACUGUGACCCAGGACCUCCCUGUGAAUGAUGGAAAACCUCACAUCGUCCACUUCCAGUAUGAGGUCACCGAGGUGAAGGUCUCUUCUUGGGAUGCAGUCCUGUCCAGCCAGAGCCUGUUUGUAGAAAUCCCAGAUGGAUUAUUAGCUGAUGGGAGCAAAGAAGGAUUGUUAGCACUGCUAGAGUUUGCUGAAGAGAAGAUGAAAGUGAACUAUGUCUUCAUCUGCUUCAGGAAGGGCCGAGAAGACAGAGCUCCACUCCUGAAGACCUUCAGCUUCUUGGGCUUUGAGAUUGUACGUCCAGGCCAUCCCUGUGUCCCCUCUCGGCCAGAUGUGAUGUUCAUGGUUUAUCCCCUGGACCAGAACUUGUCCGAUGAGGACUAAUAGUCAUAGAGGAUGCUUUGCCCAAGACCAACAGUGGGGGAAGAGGGGAAGUUAGGCAGCCCUGGGACAGACGAGAGGGCUCCUCGCUGUCUAGGGAAGGACACUGAGGGGCUCAGGAUGAGGGUUGCCUGUUGUGUUCUCGGAGUUGACUCGUUGAAAUUGUUUUCCAUAAAGAACAGUAUAAACAUAUUAUUCAUAUGUAAUCACCAAUAGUAAAUGAAGAUGUUUAUGAACUGGCAUUAGAAGCUUUUUAAACUGCGCUGUGUGAUGUGUUCUAUCUAGCCUAGGGGAGGACAUUGCCUAGAGGGGGAGGGACUGUCUGGGUUCAGGGGCAUGGCCUGGAGGGCUGGUGGGCAGCACUGUCAGGCUCAGGUUUCCCUGCUGUUGGCUUUCUGUUUUGGUUAUUAAGACUGUGUAUUUUCUUUCUUUGCUUCCUGUCACCCCAGGGGCUCCUGAGUAUAGGCUUUUCAGUCCCUGGGCAGUGUCCUUGAGUUGUUUUUUGACACUCUUACCUGGGCUUCUCUGUGUGCAUUUGUGUCUGGCCUGGAGUAAGCAGGUCAGACCCCUCCUUCUUUACAGCUUAGUGUUAUUCUGGCAUUUGGUUAAGCUGGCUUAAUCUGUUUAAUGUUAUCAGUACAUUUUAAGUAGGGGCAUUGAAAUUUAUUCCCACCACCAGGGCUUUUUAGGGGGAUGCCUGGGCCAUAAAAACACUAGCCAAACUCUAAUUCUCAAAUCACUGCCAGGAGUUAUUGCUCCUGGCUGCAGGCCCAGGCCCCAAGGUCUCCUUCCUGGGGUCACAAAGAGCAGAGAGGAAGAGGAAUAUAUAGCAACUCAGGGCCUGGGAAUUGUGGGGGAAUCUGUUCUUAGGGACUGGAUGCCUCUGGCUGGCUGAGUAUAGCACUAGCUGCCUCCCCACCAGGUUCUGAGUAGUGCCUGAGACCCUGCUCUGCAGGGCCUAGGGUAGCGCUGGGAGUGUAGAAGUGGUCUGCCCUUAACUGUUUUCACUAAACAGAUUUUUCUAAGGGGAGAGGAAGUGGGAAGAGAUCUAGAUUUGGUGAGGGGGACAGGGAUGUCAGGGAGGCAAGUGUGUUGUGUUACUGUGUCAAUAAACUGAUUUAAAGUUGU
This is an RNA transcript of Rhinopithecus roxellana (golden snub-nosed monkey), 2934 nucleotides long. It is a transcript of the gene named RNA binding protein, mRNA processing factor 2, with no coding region annotated. The record is from RefSeq and is a predicted model, not a curated record. The transcript is spliced from 12 exons. NCBI's taxonomy places the organism in Eukaryota, Metazoa, Chordata, Mammalia, Primates, Cercopithecidae.